RNAcentral lists this ribosomal RNA (362 nucleotides) under uncultured bacterium. RNAcentral describes it as "bacterial SSU rRNA". It matches the Rfam family "Bacterial small subunit ribosomal RNA", at positions 29 to 417 of the family's 1533-position model. The record is from RNAcentral.
AACGAACGCUGGCGGCAUGCCUAACACAUGCAAGUCGAACGCGUGUAGCAAUACACGAGUGGCGGACGGGUGAGUAACGCGUGGGAACCUGCCCAGUGGUAGGGAAUAACUGCGGGAAACUGCAGCUAAUACCCUAUACGCCCUUUGGGGGAAAGAUUCAUCGCCAUUGGAGGGGCCCGCGUCGGAUUAGCUAGUUGGCGGGGUAAUGGCCCACCAAGGCAACGAUCCGUAGCUGGUCNGAGAGGAUGAUCAGCCACACUGGGACUGAGAUACGGCCCAGACUCCUACGGGAGGCAGCAGUGGGAAUAUUGGACAAUGGGGGAAACCCUGAUCCAGCAAUGCCGCGUGAGUGAAGAAGGCCU